GUGCUCGCUUCGGCAGCACAUAUACUAAAAUUGGAACGAUACAGAGAAGAUUAGCAUGGCCCCUGCGCAAGGAUGAGAAUAAGAAAGUUCUAAGGAUCAAAGAAGAGAUUU
Molecule: small nuclear RNA, 111 nt
Organism: Rhinolophus ferrumequinum (greater horseshoe bat)
Lineage: Eukaryota; Metazoa; Chordata; Mammalia; Chiroptera; Rhinolophidae
Source: Ensembl